CCCUUAGAGUUUGAUCAUGGCUCAGGACGAACGCUGGCGGCGCGCCUAACACAUGCAAGUCGAACGAGGUCUAAUUGGAGCUUGCUCCGGGUAGAUCGAGUGGCGGACGGGUGAGUAACACGUGAGCAACCUGCCUUUCAGAGGGGGAUAACGUCCGGAAACGGACGCUAAUACCGCAUAACAUCACCGGAUGGCAUCAUCUGGUGAUCAAAGGAGUAAUCCGCUGAAAGAUGGGCUCGCGCCCGAUUAGAUAGUUGGUGGGGUAAUGGCCUACCAAGUCUGCGAUCGGUAGCCGGACUGAGAGGUUGAUCGGCCACAUUGGGACUGAGACACGGCCCAGACUCCUACGGGAGGCAGCAGUGGGGAAUAUUGCACAAUGGAGGAAACUCUGAUGCAGCGACGCCGCGUGAGUGAAGACGGUCUUCGGAUUGUAAAGCUCUGUCUUCGGGGACGAUAAUGACGGUACCCGAGGAGGAAGCCACGGCUAACUACGUGCCAGCAGCCGCGGUAAUACGUAGGUGGCGAGCGUUGUCCGGAAUUACUGGGUGUAAAGGGAGCGCAGGCGGG
Molecule: ribosomal RNA, 567 nt
Filed under: uncultured Clostridiaceae bacterium
Lineage: Bacteria; Bacillati; Bacillota; Clostridia; Eubacteriales; Clostridiaceae
Description: bacterial SSU rRNA
Rfam family: Bacterial small subunit ribosomal RNA
Source: RNAcentral